CCGUUGCAGUGUGUUGUGGCUAACAGGGAAAAUAUUUGCAAUACGCCUAAUGAAAAUAGAAUCCUUUACUACCAAAAAAAUUGAAUCCCAAUUCCCCAAAAAAAAGAACACUAAGACAAAAGAAGCAAAACACAAACACAAAACACUUUCUGAAACGCAAAAACCCUUUCAUCAGAUCAACUCCGCAUCGUCGUUUUCCUUCACCGUCGGUCCUUCAUGGCGUUCCAACAAUAACAAGCACUACGGAGUUCCUGCAACUACAAAUCCCUAAUUAGGCUUCAAAUCCCUAACUCCUUCCAAAUCCAAACCCCUAACUCGUUCAUCUAUCAUUCCAAUCCCUAAUCGUCAAAUCUGUGACAAAUCUCAGUUCUUGUGUCGUGACUCGUUUGUUCUCCGUCCGCCGAUCUGUGACUCGUCAUCUUUCUACGUGCUUCGAGCCUCUCUAGUUGGUAAGAAUCUAAAAAACCCUAGUCCUCUUUUUGUUUCCUCUAUUUCCCCCUUAAAUAUAGCUGCCUGCGUUGAAAUAUUAUUUGAGGAUUGAGGUUAACGAUAUUAGAGUACUAAAGCCUUUCAAUUUUUUUUUUGUUGAUGUUUGAUUUUAAUGUUUCUCUGUUCUAUUUACUGAGGUGAAUGAUUUAUGGAAGUAAAGUCUAUCAAUCGCGGCUUCCUCUUUGAUUUCUCCAUAACAAAACCCAAAAUUUGUUAGUUUCUCCAUUCUUAUGUACCUUAUGGCUUUUUGUUUAAUCUUUUGUUAAUUCUCUAUAUUAAUAAUAAUGCUCAUUAAUUUCUUCACAAUUUUAUUCUUUAAUGUUUGUCUCAAAAUGCAUUGUUUUGUUUUGUUUGUAGAUGAAUUAGUUUGGUUUUGUGGAUAAGCUAGUGUGUGCAUUGGUUUGGUCUUUUCCCGGUUGCGGCUGCUGGCGUAUUUGGCCUCUAGUACUGGUUUUUAUGUGCUUUCUUGCUCAUUUCUUGUGUCAUUGGAUUUUGAGUUUAUGUUAUUGGUGAAGGCCUGAUUUGGUUUGGGUUUUCUGGCAUAUCUGGUCUUUUGGCCCUUAAGUAUGGUUUUUGGUUCCCUUGUUUGUGGUUCUAUAUCUGUUUUUGCUGCUGGUAGUUUGGGUAAGGUGAGGGUUUUGGGACUUGUAGCUUUUUAGUUUUUAGUUCCAGCUUUUGUUUCAUGGUUGCUUACUUUACGGUUGUCGAUGUCAAUAAAUAUAAGUUUCUAUGAUAUCUAUUCUCUUUUUUAUGUUAUCCUUUAUUUUAUAUUUAUAUUUAUAUGUUGAUUAUUAUUAUUGAUGUGAUUUUAGGUCCAAUUUUACAAUAAUCUUAUGAAUUUAUUUGAUGUUCUUUGAAUGAGUUUAUCUCGAAUUGGAAACCAUCGAGAAACAGAGAGUGGUCGGUGGACUUCACAAAACCAUCAGACUCAUCGUCCGUAGUUGUUGCUCCUUCUAUAAUCGCACUGAAACAGGUAACUUAAUUAGAGGAGUCAAGAGAUGGUAGGCAUUCUGAGUCUUGCUAUCACUAAUUAAGGAUCAUGAAGCAACAUCACGUACUAAGGAAUAUUUAGAUAUUUUGCGAACUUCUUUUGACAUAAUGUUUUGUAUGUAUAGCCACUCUACUAAUGUUUAUGUUUUAGUUUUUGGAUGUUUGAAUUACAUUAAUUUUUUCUUUUGGAGUUUCUAAUACUUCAAUUAAAUUUAUGAUGUAUGGAUGUUGCCAUUAUUGAAUGAA
This is a long non-coding RNA of Trifolium pratense (red clover), 1725 nucleotides long. RefSeq lists it as uncharacterized. The transcript has 3 exons. NCBI's taxonomy places the organism in Eukaryota, Viridiplantae, Streptophyta, Magnoliopsida, Fabales, Fabaceae. The record is from RefSeq and is a predicted model, not a curated record.